GGUCCUAUAGUGUAGUUGGUUAUCACCCAAGGUUUUGAUCCUUGUAACUCCGGUUCGAAUCCGGAUAGGACCU
Molecule: transfer RNA, 73 nt
Filed under: Candida albicans
Lineage: Eukaryota; Fungi; Ascomycota; Pichiomycetes; Serinales; Debaryomycetaceae
Also listed under: 14 other names
Description: tRNA-Gln
Rfam family: tRNA
About the family: Transfer RNA (tRNA) molecules are approximately 80 nucleotides in length. Their secondary structure includes four short double-helical elements and three loops (D, anti-codon, and T loops). Further hydrogen bonds mediate the characteristic L-shaped molecular structure. tRNAs have two regions of fundamental functional importance: the anti-codon, which is responsible for specific mRNA codon recognition, and the 3' end, to which the tRNAs corresponding amino acid is attached (by aminoacyl-tRNA synthetases). tRNAs cope with the degeneracy of the genetic code in two manners: having more than one tRNA (with a specific anti-codon) for a particular amino acid; and 'wobble' base-pairing, i.e. permitting non-standard base-pairing at the 3rd anti-codon position.
Source: RNAcentral